GGUAGAGUGGCUGAUGUUAAGCGGCGGAUUGUAGUCCCGAAUAAAAAGGUUAAAAUCCUUUCUUUUCCA
RNAcentral lists this transfer RNA (69 nucleotides) under Gegeneophis ramaswamii (Tenmalai caecilian). Its description in RNAcentral is "tRNA-Tyr". It matches the Rfam family "tRNA". From Rfam's summary of the family: Transfer RNA (tRNA) molecules are approximately 80 nucleotides in length. Their secondary structure includes four short double-helical elements and three loops (D, anti-codon, and T loops). Lineage: Eukaryota; Metazoa; Chordata; Amphibia; Gymnophiona; Indotyphlidae. The record is from RNAcentral.